AGCUCCAAUAGCGUAUAUUAAAGUUGUUGCGGUAAAAAGCUCGUAGUUGGAUUUCUACUUAGCACCGCCGGUCCGCUCUACGAGCGUGUAUCAGGUUGGCGCUGGGUAUCCUCGUGAGGAACGUUGCUGCGCUUCAUUGCGUGGUGCGGUAUUCACGACUUUUACUUUGAGGAAAUUAGAGUGUUCACGGCAGGCAAUCGCCUUGAAUAUGUUAGCAUGGAAUAAUAAUAUAGGACUUUAGUUCUAUUUUGUUGGUUUCUAGAGCUAAGGUAAUGAUUAAUAGGGAUAAUUGGGGGGAUUUGUAUUGGCGCGUCAGAGGUGGAAUUCUUGGAUUGCGUCACGACAAACUACUGCGAAAGCAUUUCUCAAGGAUGUUUUC
RNAcentral lists this ribosomal RNA (379 nucleotides) under uncultured eukaryote. RNAcentral's name for it is "SSU rRNA". It matches the Rfam family "Eukaryotic small subunit ribosomal RNA", at positions 587 to 971 of the family's 1831-position model. The record is from RNAcentral.